CGAAGGCAGUGUUGUAGGUGGC
This 22-nucleotide unclassified non-coding RNA is filed under the name Chlamydomonas reinhardtii. Its description in RNAcentral is "small RNA Cre_1190". The record is from RNAcentral. Lineage: Eukaryota; Viridiplantae; Chlorophyta; Chlorophyceae; Chlamydomonadales; Chlamydomonadaceae.